CCAAUGAUAAAUCUCUUAGGUGGA
RNAcentral lists this non-coding RNA (24 nucleotides) under Arabidopsis thaliana (thale cress). The record is from RNAcentral. Lineage: Eukaryota; Viridiplantae; Streptophyta; Magnoliopsida; Brassicales; Brassicaceae.